Molecule: ribosomal RNA, 254 nt
Filed under: uncultured bacterium
Lineage: Bacteria
Description: partial 16S ribosomal RNA
Rfam family: Bacterial small subunit ribosomal RNA
Source: RNAcentral
GACGAACCGUCCAAACGUUAUUCGGAAUCACUGGGCUUAAAGGGCGCGUAGGCGGCCGAGCGGGUCACGGGUGAAAUCCUCCAGCUUAACUGGAGAACUGCCCUUGAUACCACUGCGGCUCGAGGAAGGAAGGGGCAAUCGGAACUGUCGGUGGAGCGGUGAAAUGCGUUGAUAUCGACAGGAACGCCGGUGGCGAAAGCGGAUUGCUGGUCCGUAACUGACGCUGAGGCGCGAAAGCGUGGGGAGCAAACAGG